CUGUGAUUUCAGGAGAACUUUGCCAAUUAGGAUUCCCCUCCAACCGUGAGAAGUGGAAGCAGGAGCUACACUAUCUAGGAACGGGGUAGUGUGACAAUAUUUACCUAGGAGAACCUUUGCCAAGAGACAAUCGAGGUUUGUCAAAAUUCUCCAGCUGAUCUUGGCCAGGAGAGCGUCAUUAAAGCUCUGCAAGUCUCUGAAACCUAGCCCUUUUUUCCUUUUCCUCUUCCUAGCUUGUUCCACGAUACUCAACACAUUUUCUUUUUCUCCAUACUCUCAUCCCACCAAAAAUGGAUUGGAUACGCUUGUACAUAUAAUUAGGGAGCUUGAAGUGAGACAUGGAGUAGGUUGGCAUGGCCGCUAGGACAGAUUUUAGCAGUGUUUUCUUUCCAGCUGCCGAUAGAUAUCGAGAUGACCAGUUGUAUGCUCAUUGCCGGAUCCUACCCACUAUGAUGGGGAAUUUUGGCAGAAAAGGUUAUAGCUGAUUUGUCUGUGUUGAUCUUCUGACCUGAUACUAGCUCAUAUUGAUGGAGGAUUUGCAUCAAGGUUGUGCAGUUUACAGCGUCAGUCUUAUAGAAGAACAUAGUAUCAUCAGCAAAAAACCCGUCAACACUUUACUACACAGUAUAAAUAAGUAAGGGGACAGGGCAUCCCCCUGCCGUAUACCUCUCUGGGGAGUAACCAAUCCUUGGGCUGCUCCAUUUAAGAGACGAUGAGUGAAGAUAAUGAAGAACUUUAUGUGUGAUGAGCACAUUAUCUGAGAUCGCUCUUUAGGGUACAAAGGUGGAUUGGUUCUCCGCAACAAGUAUAUGCAGGAUGGGUUGUAGCCUCUUGGAUUCUAGAGGUAAAGAAGCUCUGAAUUUCUGAGAAGAUUUGAGAACCUACUGUGUGCCAAUUUUUUGGAAGAAACUUGCUGAGAAGCCAUCCGGACCAUGCGCCCUGUCAGGAUGGAUGGAGAAACAUGCUGAUUUGAUCUCGUUUGGCAAAGUGAAUGAUGGCCUUCGAGCAACCAUUGAUUUUACUUUCUACCUCCUCAUCUUCUUCUGGCUUCCAUUGGCUGCUAAUCAGUUGGGUGACUUCUUUGUUCCUUCUUAGUCUACUGACAUAUCUGAACAAGCUUUUUUUUUUUCCUUUUGUGGUGCAAGUCAAAGUAAGUCACCACUAGUCUAUGAUCCGAGCCCUCAAAGUUGAGAUAUUCAGCACGACCUGAAGGGACAAGAAGUUCCCCGCAUGUUAAAGAUCGAAAAAAGAUCACACUCUGACAUAAUGGUCCGCAUAUCAGCUCCCAAAUUGCUUUUCUUUUUGUUUUGUCAGGCUCUCCGUAUACAAAGGUGGCAAAGAAUCUCUACCUUCAGCUUUAAUGCGAGUGUCUAUGAAAUCUGAGCAAUCCUGAAUUAUGUCCACCUCCAAAUGUUGUUGCCAGAGCAGUGCAAGGCCAACCCCUCUCGGGCUAUGAGAAAAUUAUGUCCGGAUAGACUCGUUUGUGAAUCUCUCUUAGUCUGCGAACUGUAAUGGGAUUCUGCAGACUACAACAGUUCCAGCAUAGUACUCUUAAGGAAGGGGGGGGAGAUCUUGAAAAUCCCCUCUCUUCUUCACUAUAGCAGGUGGUCAGUGGAAUUAUUCUCGUCACAGGGAGGUACAUGUCUCUUAGGGGUAGUUUUUCUCUUGGGUGAGUUCUGGAUAAUCACCUUAUGUCGCAUACUUGACUUUGCAUCCAAGAGUUGUGACGGGUUCCUGCUUGUAGGUUUUGCAAUCGGAGGGCGUCCUCUGUUUUUUUUUUUGGGGCUGCCAAUGGUGAAUCAUCUCGCAGUGAAGGGUGUACUAGUAGAUCCUGGCUUAGCUCUGAUUGGUCUUCCAGAAAACUAAGCUUGUUAAGUAGGGUCAGCGUAGCUCACAUACUGGAUGGUGACAUCAGGAAACUCCCCCAUAACCUCUUCUCUGGAUGGGAUCAUAGGAAGAGGGAGUCGAGGUGUGAUUUCUGCAGUCACAUGUCUUUCCAACCGAGGGUGACAUGGUGUAAAGGUUUCUGAGAACUCCACUGGAAUUGGAAGCAGCCAUUUCCAAGAUAAGAUCCAGUGGCUUUAACUCGUAGGUUCCACCGGUUCGAGAGGAAAGGGAUGAGUGACCAGAGGUGUUGGAGAGUCGGGUUGUUGGUAGGGAAUUCUUCUGUCCAUGGUGUAGAGACAAAUUAAAAGUAUCCAAAGCUUGGAUUCUUCACACAGAGGUGAGAGUGUUCUUGCCAAAAGAGGCUGAGUUUUCUUGUCAAAGUACUGAGAGUUAAAUACUUACGACAAGAGGCAAUAAAUGCGAGUCAACAAAAACAGUUCUUCACCUAGAGGGGUGCUUUGUCUUGCUACCUUUCUUACAGUUGUCUGGGUCGAGGAGCUAGAAGGUAAGAGGGGUUUCUUUUUACUCGGUCAUCCCAGCAGGGAAGUGGCAUGAGGGGCGUCUCCAUCACCGGACUCACUAGGGAGGACGCCGACCGCCUCAAGGCAUCAUAUAUUCGUAUAAAGCCAAAAAUAAAAUAAACUUUGCUAGAAAAAAAAUCAAAAGUGGGUGAGAUCUGCUAUUUUGAACUUAGUUUACUUCUUUCAGCUAGCUCGGGAAAUGUGUCUGAGAGCAUUUUUUAGAGACGAAUAAUAGUGUUGAUUGAGAAUUCUCUGAACAAUCGAAUGAGAAGACAGAACCAGUGUUUUGUGUUCCACCAUCUGUAUAUAUAUGGCCACUAACUUCGUGAUGA
Non-coding RNA from Camelina sativa (false flax), 2740 nucleotides. The record is from RefSeq and is a predicted model, not a curated record. NCBI's taxonomy places the organism in Eukaryota, Viridiplantae, Streptophyta, Magnoliopsida, Brassicales, Brassicaceae.